AACGAACGCUGGCGGCAGGCUUAACACAUGCAAGUCGAGCGAAGACUUCGGUCUUAGCGGCGGACGGGUGAGUAACGCGUGGGAACAUACCCUUUGCUACGGAACAGUCCCGGGAAACUGGGUUUAAUACCGUAUACGCCCUUCGGGGGAAAGAUUUAUCGGUGAAGGAUUAGCCCGCGUUGGAUUAGGUAGUUGGUGGGGUAAUGGCCUACCAAGCCGACGAUCCAUAGCUGGUUUGAGAGGAUGAUCAGCAACACUGGGACUGAGACACGGCCCAGACUCCUACGGGAGGCAGCAGUGGGGAAUCUUAGACAAUGGGGGCAACCCUGAUCUAGCCAUGCCGCGUGAGUGAAGAAGGUUUUCGGAUCGUAAAACUCUGUUGUUAGAGAAGAACAGGAGAAGUAGUAACUGGCUUCUUUUUGACGGUACCAGCAGAAGAAGCCCCGGCUAACUCCGUGCCAGCAGCCGCCGUAAAAC
RNAcentral lists this ribosomal RNA (477 nucleotides) under uncultured bacterium. Its description in RNAcentral is "bacterial SSU rRNA". It matches the Rfam family "Bacterial small subunit ribosomal RNA", at positions 29 to 526 of the family's 1533-position model. The record is from RNAcentral.